AAAGACACACCGAAAAACAUCUAGGGUUUUGCCUCGUCUCACUACUUGCGUCGCCAUCGUAGUCUACCUCAUUUCGAACGCCGGCAUGCAUCGGCGUGCGAGAGAGCAGGUCUCCGGAACCGUUCGUCUUUGCGAUCCUGCAUCGGGAGAGGACGAAUUAGGUUUUUGGAAAGCGCUUUGUGCGACUGCUCAAAUUCGUCACCACGGGUCGUCUACCAUCCAAGUCGGGCGGUGCUACUCAUCGUCGUCUACAUCGCCAUCAACAAAGGAUCGUCACCAACAUCAUCGUCAACAUAGUCGUUCCUGCUGCAACUAACAAACAGUAUGUUGCUCGUAAUCUGUUUAUGUUGAUCAUUGUAGUUGCUGCUUCUUGCGCGGUGAUGUUAUGCAUAUUCAGUUGCUCUGCCGGAUUGCUAGAGUAUUGCAUGUUAUUUUCUGUUUUAGUCAUGAAUUAUCUAGUGUAAUUAAUCAUGAACUUGCCUAAUCUUCUAACAGCACGUGGGAGCACUUAUGACCUGACGGACUGUCGUGCGCGCAAAGCAACACUACUACACGACUAUGAAUCUCGACACGAGCAGGAGCUGGCUGCGAAGCUGGACACGAGCAGGGCUUGUACCCAGCACUGAACAAGCUGGAUUUGCUGGCUCGCUCGCUGCGCCAUUGGCAGGCAGGGGCACGUGCCGCCAAUCCGUGGAUCGAAAAUCUCGGUCGAUUCAGGUAGGUAGGCGCCGGGGUGAAUUUUCGCACCUAUGCGCCCGCGCGCGUCACCGAUGACAUUGGCGCUGACGGCGGCGGUACCGCCACCACGAGUGGCCGAGCUGCUGAGGGACGAAGAACUGGUCUGGGUCUUCUCGGGUGCAUACAGUCUUUUCGUGCUCGUGGUUUCAUGUGGCAGGCACAUGCAUGCGCCCGACCUGGUCUGGUGUGGAGGACCGGAGAAGAACCGAGCAUGGCGAGGGGAGGGGAACGGAACCGGAGAGCCGAGCUGAGUCGCGUCAGCGACUGCGUUUCUUCUUCAUUUUUUCGUUUCAAUCAGAGAGUUUUAUUCAACAACAAAAACUCAUGGCAUCAUCAUCCAAUAAGCUGGUGAGCAGGAAAGAGGGUCUCGAAUCAGUCGAACGUUCGGUGACCAUCACUAUACAAGCAAAUUUUGCAUAAAAUGGGUCGGUACAUUGGCUGACCGAAUUACAUGUUGAAUAUCAAAAGAAAAAAAAGAGGAAACUAG
This 1225-nucleotide long non-coding RNA is filed under the name Hordeum vulgare. RNAcentral describes it as "long non-coding RNA (HVUL_LNC017858)". The record is from RNAcentral. Lineage: Eukaryota; Viridiplantae; Streptophyta; Magnoliopsida; Poales; Poaceae.